Molecule: ribosomal RNA, 256 nt
Filed under: uncultured bacterium
Lineage: Bacteria
Description: partial 16S ribosomal RNA
Rfam family: Bacterial small subunit ribosomal RNA
Source: RNAcentral
GUCAACGCCGUAAACGAUGGAUACUAGCUGUUGGGCGCAAGUUCAGUGGCUAAGCGAAAGUGAUAAGUAUCCCACCUGGGGAGUACGAACGCAAGUUUGAAACUCAAAGGAAUUGACGGGGGCCCGCACAAGCGGUGGAGCAUGUGGUUUAAUUCGAUGAUACGCGAGGAACCUUACCAAGGCUUAAAAUGUAGAUUGACAGGUUUGGAAACAGACUUUUCUUCGGACAAUUUACAAGGUGCUGCAUGGUUGUCGU